This is an RNA transcript of Alligator mississippiensis (American alligator), 3760 nucleotides long. RefSeq lists it as uncharacterized. Lineage: Eukaryota; Metazoa; Chordata; Crocodylia; Alligatoridae. The transcript is spliced from 3 exons. The record is from RefSeq and is a predicted model, not a curated record.
CUGUAGCGCGCGGGGCGCUCCGUGCAGGGUGCCCGCGUCCCGGGCCCACAGUCCUCCCGCGCCGCGGGGCGCCGGGCUGGCCCACAGACCUCGCGCGGGACGGGGGCACCUGGCUGGGGGCUGCUCUGAGCUCUUCUUCGCCGCAGAAAACCCGCUCCGGUAUUUUUCUGUACGUGAAAAGAGAGCCACGACCCAGAGCUGGCCCUUUCUCGGGCCGCCUGGGAGGGUGAGGAGCCCGCCCGGCUCUGUGCAGAGGGACUGGCCCUGGCCGUGACUCCUUCCCCGUCCUCAGGCUGUGACGAGGGCAGGGUGCUCAGCAUUUUGAACACUACACAACCAAUGUUGCUAUUUCCUUAGAGACAAAUUCUGGAAAACUGCUUGCUCCAUUUGAAAAUGUCUGGCUGCUGCCAUGAUUUGAUUGUAACCUGUGAGAUCAAGCUGUACUGCUUGGUACAAGAAAUCCAUCAACAUAAUUUUGUAAAUUUGCCAGUCGAAUGGUAUUUCACCAUAUCAUAUACAUUUACAUAAUUUAAGAUUUGCCAAUCGUAUGUAUGGCCUUUUGGAUGAACAGAUUAGCAUUCAAGCAAUACUAAAGUACUUUUGCAGAUAUGAAUCUUAACCUGAUUCCUGAAUUAAUUAUCUGUAUGCUUAAAAAAAAGUUGAAAAAAUAAUAUUCAGGUUGCAAAUCAAGCACUCAAAAAAAUCGGAAAUGCCUGAACAAAAGUUGUACGUGCAAGGCAAUUUUUCAGGAAACUAGUCUCCUUGGCUUUUACAUGGCGAUAAGCAGUGCUACCUAAUUGGUCUCUAAUUUGGUUCUUAAGAGAGUCUGUCUAGCAGUUCAGUGUCUGUCAUGGGUGAUCUUGUUGUAUUAUGGUGAAAAUGUUAUCAUCAACUAUGUUGUUACAUUUCUUGGUAAAUGUUCAUACUGCAUUGGUCUUUUAAUCCAAUGUCCAUAUCAAGAAAACCAUCAAAACCAAACCAUUGCUGAUGUUGGCAAUUGUUGGAUUUGGUUACAAAAAUAACCAUGUUGCUGAUAUUUUUCUGUCACACAGGGCUCCUGUCUUUUUCAGUGCACAAAAUGGUUAAUACUUAUAUUAUGCUUUACUUUGUUUGUAUAUGUAUGCUUCCAUGCCUUACCUACUGGAGACUCUUCAACCCCUGCUCUGAACACUUCAUUUCCGAAUGUGCUUUUGCUAUAGUUCUGACUGCUGUGGUAUCUGAAUAUCUUAGAAACAUUCAUAACACCUUAUGAGAUGGAGAAAUGUUAUUCCUUCUUUAUGGAUCGACUCAGAAAGGCUUAGGUCAAAAUUAUAUACUAAUUCUGGGCUCCAUUGUGAGGUGUUGUGGCAGAGGGGGUAAUGUGCCUUCAUAUGGUUCCAGAGUUGUGAAUCUGAGCCCUGCUCCUGACGUGUGUCAAAUUUUUCCAUUGAGAAAUGCUGACACAAACCAGUUAGAACUGUUUGUAGUUUUAUGCAGAGGUUCAUAUUAAGUAAUGCUGCUCAGUCGGACAGUGAACAAAAUCGAUCUGUAUUUGGCUCUGAGUGAUUACUGAAUAACGCACAUCCUUCACACUGAAUGUGGCAGGGUCUCACAGAAAAGUAUGAUUGUGUCUGUGAUCCUGUCGUUAAAGACUGUAUUGUAAUACAUAUGCACAUCCAGCCUUAAUUAAAAUUGCUGCUGGUAUUGAAAUCUUAACAAUGUUCUUUUAACAUAGUUUGUUAUGUGUUAUUUAGAUAUUUGGGAUUUUUUUAAGUAACCUGAAGCAUCAUGUUGGCACCCACCUUUAGAGCUUAAAGCUUAAGACCUUUAGAGUCAGUGGAUAGACCUCUUGUCAAAAAUUAACUGCUCUUUACAGCAAUAAUAUGCUUCUUGUAAAAUACCGAUUAAUACUGAAGACCCAGUAUUUCAGAUAUGGUCAGAGAAGUGCAAUUACACAGCAGUUGCAUCAUCCGCUUUGCUUUGUUUUCUGUGUUUACAAAUUAGAAAGAAACAGAAUCCUUAUCGUUUCUGAAGGUGAGAGGCAUCUCAAACUCCAGCAGCAUAUACAGAUGGAGAAAUGAUACAGAGUAGACACUUUUACCAUAUUGCCAACCCCCAGCCAUUCCAGUAUUGUGAGUCAGGCCUCCAACAUUAUGAAGUUGGCUUAAAAAUAACAAUAUUUAAGAAGGAAAAAUCUAAAGGCUUCCCUGGUUGCUAGAGAUUGCUGAGAGCAGCAGAGUGUGCAGCUGACUAGCUGGCUACUGCAAAGGACUACACUGCCUCCCCCACACCCAGGAGCUCCCAGUCACAAUAACUCCUCCCUCCCUGCUUGGAGGCUUCCAAAGCAGAGAUUCAGAGCAUGUUUGCACAUCAGUUUCUGUUCCUGCACCCCACCAAGAAUCUGCCCCUCUUGCAGGAGCUGAUGGACCCAAAAGCUGGGCCUCUAUUUCACUGUCACCCUGCAUGCAUCUCAUCAGAGACUUAGGGACAUUUCCUCCUGCACAGGACUUAGAAGCCUGACCUCCCACAUGGGGCCGCUUCCCAGAUCCUAUGAGCACCAAGCCUCCUGGAUACUGCUGCUGACUUCUACGCCAACGAAGCGAAGUUCUUCUUCCUGGCCAAUGAAGAUGAGGCCCUACUGGAUAUCAUGCAGUUCUGGGUGCUUUGGGAUUGCCUCUUGUGUCAAAUGAUACUGCAGGGCCUGGGAGAUCAGCAGUGAUUGGUAAGAGUGGAUCAUCAUGCACACCUUGGGUGAUGAGCAGUGGUUGCAGAACAUCUGCAUGUGCCAGGCUACUUGCAUGGACAUCAUCACCAGACUGAUCUGGUACAUAGGGUAGGAGGACAUAUGCAUAAGGCGACUGCUGACUCCAGUGAAGUGCAUUGCUGUCAGCAUCUUGACACUCACAAACCCCAACAGACUCUACUUCAUUGCCAACCACUUUGACAUGGGCAAGUCCCUGGCUGGAGUGCUGGUGUGGGAGGUAUGCCCAGGGCAUCCAGGAUGUGCUAAUGAGCCAUGUCAUCCAACUCAGCAACCUGCACAAGGUCAUUACCAGCUUCCUCUGGAUGGGAAUUACAAAUAAUGGAUUAGAAUGUGUUGCACAAACAUAAACUGAGCAUUUAGGAUGGAUGUUAGUCCAUGGUGUUUUUGUAUUAAUUCUUCUUCAAAAAAACAUCCAGAGAUGUUUGAAAAAGAGUUUCAGUCACUAAGCUUAAUGGCACUAGAAGUGUAAGAAAACAUUCAAUUCUGAGAGAAAACAAUAAGAAUCUAGCCUAGCAGCAUCCAGCAAAUGAUAAAGUGAAAAUAUCUUUUAAAUAACAAUUGAGAACCAAAUACCCUGACUGUGGGCCUGGAGGAAUGCCUGAAAUGUAGGUCCGUAUAAAUGAAGAUUAGAAACAAAAUGUCCACUUCAUUAAGCUCUUAAAAUUACAUAGAUUAAAGGUUGUUUUCCAUUGUGUAUCUGAAGGUCAGGGUUCCCUGAGGCUGGUGUUCUUUUUACAAGUAAUAUAUGCAACAGUGAGAUACUUGGCUUUACACGAACAUCUGACUGUGCAUUUAUAUGCAUGCAGCACACUACAGUUAAUUGAAAUGAGCUGCAAAGAUUUCCUGCAUGACUUGGUUGACUGAAGAAACCCUUCACAUAAAAAACAGUGGCUUGAGCUAUUGAUCCACAGUUCAUAAGUGCACGGCUCCAAUGUACAGAGAUGGAUUCAAUCUGUGAAGUUAAACCUAAGAUCAGUGAAGUUAAGUCAAACAUGUCUUUCUUGAUUGCCUUAAUAA